Molecule: transfer RNA, 85 nt
Filed under: marine eukaryotic metagenome
Rfam family: tRNA
About the family: Transfer RNA (tRNA) molecules are approximately 80 nucleotides in length.
Source: RNAcentral
GAGGGAUGGCUGAGUGGUCGAAAGCGCUCGCCUCGAAAGCGAGUGGGCCCGCAAGGGUCUCGCGGGUUCGAAUCCCGCUCCCUCC